UACGGAGGGGGCUAGCGUUGUUCGGAAUUACUGGGCGUAAAGGGCGCGCAGGCGGCCUUAGAAGUCAGAUGUGAAAGCCCCGGGCUCAACCUGGGAAUGGCAUUUGAUACUCUGAGGCUGGAGUACGGGAGAGGAGAGUGGAAUUCCCAGUGUAGAGGUGAAAUUCGUAGAUAUUGGGAAGAACACCGGUGGCGGAAGGCGGCUCUCUGGACCGUAACUGACGCUGAGGCGCGAAAGCGUGGGGAGCAAACAGG
RNAcentral lists this ribosomal RNA (254 nucleotides) under uncultured bacterium. Its description in RNAcentral is "partial 16S ribosomal RNA". It matches the Rfam family "Bacterial small subunit ribosomal RNA", at positions 524 to 776 of the family's 1533-position model. The record is from RNAcentral.